RNAcentral lists this long non-coding RNA (5729 nucleotides) under Sus scrofa (pig). RNAcentral describes it as "lncRNA (ENSSSCG00030051224.1)". The record is from RNAcentral. Lineage: Eukaryota; Metazoa; Chordata; Mammalia; Artiodactyla; Suidae.
GACUUUUCUGGAGGCCGCGGGUGAGGAGCACAACUGAUAUGCCCUUUUUUCUGGUUUGUUGUUAUUUACCUAGCAUUGUAAACUAAGGAGGAAAAGUAACAAAGAGCUUGAAGACUUUCAUGGAGCCCAGGCCCUGGACGGAGGCAGGCGACAUCAGAGAACCAAGAAAGCUGAGGGGCAGCCAGGAGGCACCUGUGGCUGCAGAGCCCAGGAGAAUGGCCUGAUCAUACCUGUGAUUUACCAGAAAAGAGCCUAACAGAUGUUUGGAAAGAACUCAGAAGCAAGGUCGCCAGGUAGCUCUGAGAGCGACGGUCCAGGUGGGACGCAUAGCCUACUUCUUUGGUCUUGUGCUCCAUUCCCAAGGCUGCUCUUCAACAACCUGCCUGUCACAGGUCACAGCACUGGCUGAGGGCUUUCCGAGGGCAUUUAUUUAAUGGCAUGCCAGUGGCAUUUACUCAUAAAACCAAAAAGCCAUUAAGGCCAGAAAUAGGGAUUUUGGUUACUUCCCCAGACAGGAUGCAGUUGGGGUGAUUAUACAUGUGAUUCAUCGAGGUCGGGAAACAAGUCCUCCGCAAACAAACUCCCCUCCCCUCCCUGCCCAGCCCGGUGACUCACGGCUGCUUCGGCUUGGAAAGCGCUGGAGUCCAGGCCAAACUUGAGGCAUGAUGUUAAGUCAUAAAUCCUCAGCCUUGAUUGUUACCAAAGAAACAUUUUAAUUCAUUCUUUCAAUCAUUGAAGCAAUAAGCAGUGAGCGAACUCUUACUGUUUCAGGCACAGAAGACAUGGAGCUAUCAAACAUAGUAUUUUCCAGUUCAGCUGGGAAAACUGAUAGAGCAUGAGUAGGGCAUCCCAUACUGUCAGAACAGAGAGACGCUAACAGGACAACAAGGUCAGAGGAGAGACCCUCGACUGCUCCGGGAGAGGAAGGGAUGGCGUUGGACUUGCACCCUUUAGCGAACAGUGAUGGAGCAUUUACUGUCUGCCAGGCACUGUUCUAGACAUGACAUUUCACAUUCUUGUGCAGCAAGCUUUCUAGCAAGAGGAUUCAGAUGUUACACAGAGCUGGAAGCCGAACAAACGAAGCUCUAUCCUGGGGGAAUUUACCUUCUUGUGGAGGAGCAUUGGCGAGUGUGACAGCCAGGGCUUCGUUCUAAGAAACAGCAACACAUGCAAAAAGACACAGGAAUCCAGCCCUACUGGGAAAGAAUAGAGGGGAAAAAACCUCAGGUUGGAGAUGCCCAGUGUGACAAGAGGGCUUAUUUAUAACCUGAAUUAGGAUGAACAGUUCCUUUGGCUGGAGUGGACAGAACAUGGAGAUUCUUUUUUUUUAAUUUUUGAUUUUUUAAUUUUUCAUUUUAGGGCUGCACCUGCGGCCUAUGGAAGUUCCGAGGCUAGGGGUUGAAUGGGAGCUGCAGCUUCUGGCCUACGCCGCAGCCACAGCAAUGCCAAAGCCUUAUCCCUCUGAGCAAAGCCAGGGACCAAACCCGCAUCCUCAUGGAUACUAGCUGGGUUCUUAACCUGCUGAGCCACAAUGGGAACUCCUGAACACAGAGACUCUUCUUACAGGGAGACUCUCAGCAUUGAACCCCCAGACCUUCUGAUUUCUCAGGGCCCAUCAUGUAGUAGGAGUCACUGAUGCAGGAACCUGAGUACUGUGGUUUGGACUCACUGAUGAUGAUUCUGUACCUCUGUCUGACUGUUUUGCCAUGCCCCAGGGCCACAAAGAUAAAAACAUAAGAAACUGGCUGCCUCCUUGCUUAAAUAAUAUUCAGGUCAAGUUCUCUAACAGCCGACUCUGGCUGGGAGGUCAUGCUUAAUUCUCAUUUUAUCAGGCUGUCUAAAAUAACCAGGCCAUGAGGUGGUUAUUGUUAUGGUGCUCAUUGGAAUGGGAUUUGACCUAUAUAAGGAGAAGAACUAGGACGGAAAUAGCUCUCCAGCCCAUCGCAGACUUAGAGAAAACCAGUGUAAGCGGUGGCAGAAUCAGAGCUGGAGGGAAGAGAUGCAAGGUGACUUCAGGUGAUACUGGCACCUGCCUCUAGGCAGAUAUAUGCCUGUCUGGAAAGGUAAUGUAAACUCUAGAAUUCAUUAUUUUAACAAUGCAUCAUAAACAUUUACCCUUCCUGAAUAGUGCUGUUCCCUUCAGGGCAGUGAUGCUGCCUAGCCUUGGGCGAAACAUCUUCGAACCUCCUAUUUGACAGUAGACCUCAGAACCCAUCGCCUUUUCUUUUGAAUAUACUUAGUAGGAGGAAACCAUUGUCUUUGGAGGCUUUUUUGCAUUUUCUAAAAACCAAGUGCCGUAUCCAGUUGGUCCAGCUGAAAUGGUACUAUUUUUGAUUAACAUGAAUUUAAAUGCAGCUAUGAAAUUAUGAGGUGACACUUUUGUUUGGCUCAUAACUGGUUCAAAAGAGACUUACCAGCACUUGCAAACAUAACAAGUGCAUAUUCUCCCAGAUGGCUCAUUUGAGCGUCUGUGAGCUCUGAUAGCCUGUGCAGUCUCCUCACUCUGCUUGGUGAACUCCUUGAGGUCAAGGAGGGUGCCUUGUCUCAAAAUAUCCACCUACCCCAGAGGCAGGUGCAUGUCAGGGACUAUUUGGUACAGAAUUAACUAAAAAACAAUAAUGUCAUCACUUUACAGUCCUUUCAGGAAUUUUUGUCCAUUUUGAUUUUUUUCUUCCUUUUUUUUCCCCACCAAAUAGGAACCCUUUGAGGCUUAUUAGCCAGCAAACAGCAAAGGAAGCAGUCUGUGUGUAUUGAACACUGGUCUGAGAAAAGUUCAGGUUCUGAUGUAAACUCUUUUGUAGAACCUCUUGGGGAAAUUAUGUAAGCCUGUGUCCCCAUCUUUAAAUAAAGAGGUUGAACUCGAUGAUGGAAAUAGGUCUGUUUGAGGAGUAAAAUAUUGAGUAGCUACUUUGUGCCUACCUCUGUGCGUGUUGUGGGAGAUUUUUUUUAAGGUCUUAGCAUUGAUCAGGAUUCUUGUGUUUGCAAGUGGCAGAAACCCAGCUUGACUCAGCUGAGGUAGAAAACCAGACUUCAGGAACGGCAGAGGUGCACCAGAUUCCAGAAACCACUGGAUCAGGGACUGGGGUGCUUCCACAACACACUUCCACCAACUUUCUCCUUGGCUUAUCUCUCUGGGCCAGUUUUAUUUUCUCACUCUGUUUCUUCUGUGAGCCCGAAGACAUUUGCAAAACCUUUGGGAAGUCUUCCUGGCCAGGGGAACGAGAUAUCAUGAGCAGUUGCUAUUAGAACCACAAGAUUGGCUGAAGAGAGCGGCAGCUCCCCCAGAGAAGGGGCUGCUAUGCUGCCCCCCAAACCAAACCCCUGAAUCGCCUGCCACCCCUGUUCGCCACCCACUCCCACCCUUUUCCUGUCAGCUCUAUGCACCUUGGCUGAGAGUGUCUACUCUUCUUGAAGUUUCUGCCCAACUUCACUGUCUCUGAGGGCCAACUGCCUUGGGUCCCUACCUGUCUGUGCUCCCAGAGCCCCUUGAACCCAUCUGUACCCCGGAGGUACAGUGCCUCAUGUUAUUGGCUGUAGUCUGUGUAUAUGUUUUUCUUCCCUGUGAGACUGGGAACCUCUCAAAGACACUAACUGCCUUAAUUGAUCUCGGGUUACUUUUUAAAUUAAAAUAUUUAUUAAUUAGUGACAACCUACUGUGUAUGAGGUUCUGGGGAUUCAAAGAAAAAAGUGACCCAAGGUCUCCCUUCUCAAGAUGACCAAGGUCAAGUGGGAGACGUAUGAUAAACGGACACCUUCAGCAGAGGGCAGUGGUGUGCGUCCACCCCGGACGUCAGCUGGUGUUCCAGCAGCACGCAGCACAUGGGAGAGUCUCCUCCCUACUCAAGGACGGGGCUUGAGAAAGGCAGAGAGUUUGUGAGGGGUGGGAAUGCGCCCCUCCUGGCUUGUGCUGGGUUCUGUCGCCGAGGGUUAAACCUGGUUGAAUGGGGUCUAGAGGGAAGGAACGUUCUUCAGGGGUCCCUGAAAGUACAGUGUCACCAAAGGCUUGUGUUUGAAUUGGGUAGAGGAGGCAGAGACACAUGGAGUAACUGGAAAAAGAAUAUAGUUUCCAGAAAUGUGCUUGGAAUUUUAUUAGUACAUGGAACAAGGAGUAUAGAAAAAAAUUGAGAUUGCCGUGGGCUUAGAAGGGAAAUCCUUCAGUGCCAGUUGUGGGGAACUGACAGGCUAAAUCUGGAAUCAGAGUCUGGGGUUCAGUCUCACUCUGCUGGAUAUUAGUUUAGCAAUAAUCCUAAUUCCUACAUCAGAAAAUGAAGACACUAAGAUCCAUCAGAAUUAUACUGAGGAUAAAAGAAGACCUGUACAUGAAAGUACUUAGUAAACUGUAAAGCACAAUACAAACAAGUUAUUCCAUAAGUCUGUUUAUUGUUAAAACAGAGUGUGCUUGACAGGAGUAUUUGGAAAUAUGAAAAGAGGUAUAAGUACCUUUACAUGGAAAGAUGCAAAGUUCGUGUUGGAAGUUAGGUUAAUUUUACUCACUCACUAAACAUUCUGGUCAGUGACAUUGCAAAAUGCAUAACCUGUUAAUGACUUGACUGACUUGUUAUACAUUUCUGACUCUGAGGAUAGGGCAGUCUGACUCAGCUGGACGUGGGACAUGGUAGGAAUUAAUUUGUUUUGAUGUCGUAAUUGCAAGGUAUCUUCUCUACCCACUGUAUAUUCUGAACGAUAUAUUCUGGUAGCCAGAAGGUUCACCUGAGGCUUUCCCUCUGAGGGGUAAAACUUCCCUUCCGUGCCUCUCCUUCCUCCUCCUUAAAUAAUAGUGAAUAAUGAUGGCAUUUUAGAGAGUCACCCUCAUAAAAAGGGUCUGAAGACAUGUGAUCCCAUCACAUUGGAUGUGACAGUGUUUUGUGUUCUGCUCUGGUGCGGGAGAGAGCGGGCAGGUGCAUCCAUCAGACACAGAAUGACCCACUAAAGCAACCUGAACUCUGGGUCUUUAAGCAUAUCUCAAAGACUAGGAUGAGAUAGUAAAUUUUAGUGGACCCCCCCUGGUGUAGGCACACAGUGUAAAUAAUCUUCACUCCAUGAGCUCCUCCGGUUUUACAGGGCUCUCCCUGCCUUUUCUCCCACUUUCAGCACCAAGGCUUAGCCUGAACUGAUCAUUGCUGGAGAGAAGGACCCUCAUGCUUUUUCGUGAUGCUAUGAGGGUAGCUCUGCAAAUGAUGGAACAAAACGUUAGAGACUGAUCACUCAUGCUUAUUCAGUGAUGAACCCAGAAGACAAGGAAGUGCCAGGUGUGGGGUCAAAGCCAUGGCCAGCUGGUGUUUUCUCUCUCCAUUCAUUAUUCCAUUUACCUAGCCUUUCUAAAAUUUAUGUCAGGAAAGAGAAUGUGGCUCCUUUUGGAAUACCAUAUCUAUGAGAUAUUAAUAUAAGUUCCAUAAAAUAACAGGGGAUUCUGAGGUCAAACAAGUGUGAGAAAUGCUGAACAUGUCCCCACGGAGAUGCAAAAUGUACGUGUACAUAUCUAAGACUGCAGGAGUUCCCAUCAGGCUCAGCAGAAACGAAAAUAACCAGGAACCAUGAGGUUGUGGGUUCGAUCCCUGACUUCGCCUAGUGGGUAAGGAUCCAGCGUUGCUGUGAGUUGUGGUGUCGGUCAUAGAUACAUGGCUCAGAUCCUGAGUUGCUGUGGCUGUGGCGUAGGCUGGCAGCUGUAGCUCCGAUUUGACCCCUAGCCUGGGAACCUCCAUAUGCUGCAGGUGUGGCCCUUAAAAAAA